AUGCAUCAUUGCAAAAAUUCUUGUGCUUCAAGUCAUGCACGAAUCCAUAAGUCAUCACAUUCCAGUUAUGCAUUAUUUUCUAUUUCUCACAUUUUCAGUUUUCUGCUAUCCAAAGAGUCCCUUAGUUGCUUUUUUUUUUCUUCUUUUCUUAUCCUCAGAUUUCUUGGGAUGGGAAAUUUCUCUCAAGAAUUAGAUAGGGCUAUUCAAUUCAAACUACCUUAUAAUACUACAGAAAAGGAGAAGAUUUAUCACCCGGCAGUGCUAAAGUUCCUGAAAGCUAUGAAUCGUAAAAACAGAGCAUACUUUUCCUUAUUAAUAAUGGAAUUAAUUAGUAUACAAUUUGUACUAGUAGAUUUCAUUGUUGGCCUGCAUGAAAGAAGCCAAUAUUUACAUCUCCCCAAAUUUGCACCACCAGUACUAUCUAGUUACUGA
RNAcentral lists this ribosomal RNA (432 nucleotides) under Triticum aestivum (bread wheat). Its description in RNAcentral is "partial small subunit ribosomal RNA". The record is from RNAcentral. Lineage: Eukaryota; Viridiplantae; Streptophyta; Magnoliopsida; Poales; Poaceae.